GCUGCUAUACAUGCAAGUCGAACGAACUCUGGUAUUGAUUGGUGCUUGCAUCAUGAUUUACAUUUGAGUGAGUGGCGAACUGGUGAGUAACACGUGGGAAACCUGCCCAGAAGCGGGGGAUAACACCUGGAAACAGAUGCUAAUACCGCAUAACAACUUGGACCGCAUGGUCCGAGUUUGAAAGAUGGCUUCGGCUAUCACUUUUGGAUGGUCCCGCGGCGUAUUAGCUAGAUGGUGGGGUAACGGCUCACCAUGGCAAUGAUACGUAGCCGACCUGAGAGGGUAAUCGGCCACAUUGGGACUGAGACACGGCCCAAACUCCUACGGGAGGCAGCAGUAGGGAAUCUUCCACAAUGGACGAAAGUCUGAUGGAGCAACGCCGCGUGAGUGAAGAAGGGUUUCGGCUCGUAAAACUCUGUUGUUAAAGAAGAACAUAUCUGAGAGUAACUGUUCAGGUAUUGACGGUAUUUAACCAGAAAGCCACGGCUAACUACGUGCCAGCAGCCGCGGUAAUACGUAGGUGGCAAGCGUUGUCCGGAUUUAUUGGGCGUAAAGCGAGCGCAGGCGGUUUUUUAAGUCUGAUGUGAAAGCCUUCGGCUCAACCGAAGAAGUGCAUCGGAAACUGGGAAACUUGAGUGCAGAAGAGGACAGUGGAACUCCAUGUGUAGCGGUGAAAUGCGUAGAUAUAUGGAAGAACACCAGUGGCGAAGGCGGCUGUCUGGUCUGUAACUGACGCUGAGGCUCGAAAGUAUGGGUAGCAAACAGGAUUAGAUACCCUGGUAGUCCAUACCGUAAACGAUGAAUGCUAAGUGUUGGAGGGUUUCCGCCCUUCAGUGCUGCA
This 841-nucleotide ribosomal RNA is filed under the name Lactiplantibacillus plantarum. Its description in RNAcentral is "bacterial SSU rRNA". It matches the Rfam family "Bacterial small subunit ribosomal RNA", at positions 46 to 850 of the family's 1533-position model. The record is from RNAcentral. Lineage: Bacteria; Bacillati; Bacillota; Bacilli; Lactobacillales; Lactobacillaceae.